Molecule: ribosomal RNA, 299 nt
Filed under: bacterium f7(2011)
Lineage: Bacteria
Description: partial small subunit ribosomal RNA
Rfam family: Bacterial small subunit ribosomal RNA
Source: RNAcentral
ACUGCUCGUACCUUGACGGUACCUUAAUUAGAAAGCCACGGCUAACUACGUGCCAGCAGCCGCGGUAAUACGUAGGUGGCAAGCGUUGUCCGGAAUUAUUGGGCGUAAAGCGCGCGCAGGCGGUUCUUUAAGUCUGAUGUGAAAGCCCACGGCUCAACCGUGGAGGGUCAUUGGAAACUGGAGAACUUGAGUACAGAAGAGGAAAGCGGAAUUCCACGUGUAGCGGUGAAAUGCGUAGAGAUGUGGAGGAACACCAGUGGCGAAGGCGGCUUUCUGGUCUGUAACUGACGCUGAGGCGC